Molecule: long non-coding RNA, 396 nt
Filed under: Micromonas pusilla
Lineage: Eukaryota; Viridiplantae; Chlorophyta; Mamiellophyceae; Mamiellales; Mamiellaceae
Description: long non-coding RNA (MPUS_LNC000057)
Source: RNAcentral
GCGUCAGCGCGCGAUGGAGGAGCUCUCGAGGCUGCGCGACGACGCGACGACGGCGAAGGAGGAGUCGGAGCGCGCGAAGAAGACGGCGGAGGAGGCGGAUUUUUUGCGCGCGGCGACGGAGACCGAGCUCGCGAAGACGCGGCGAGACCUCGACGACGCGAACGCGCGCGCGUCCGCGACGGAAAGCGAGCUCGCGAAGACGCGGCGAGACCUCGACGACGCGAACGCGCGCGCGUCCGCGACGGAGAGUGAGCUCGCGAAGACGCGGCGAGACCUCGACGACGCCAACGCGUCCGCGUCCGCGUCCGCGACGACGACGCGCGACGAGGCGACGCGAGAGGCGCGAGAGAGCGCCGCGCGCGAGAUGGAGGAAACGCGCGCGACGCUGACGGCGCG